UACAAACAGAGUGUUUCCUAACUGCUCUAUGAAAAGAAAGGUUAAACUCUGUGAGUUGAAUGCACACAUCACAAAGAAGUUUCUGAGAAUCAUUCUGUCUAGUUUUUAUACGAAGAUAUUUCCUUUUCUACCAUUGACCUCAAAGCGGCUGAAAUCUCCACUUGCAAAUUCCACAAAAAGAGUGUUUCAAGUCUGCUCAAAGUAAAGGAUUCAACUCACAGAGUUGAAUACACACAACACAAGGAAGUUACUGAGAAUUCUUCUGUCUAGCAUAGUAUGAAGAAAUCCCGUUUCCAACGAAGGCCUCAAAGAGGUCUGAAUAUCCACUUGCAGAGUUUACAAACAGAGUGUUUCCUAACUGCUCUAUGAAAAGAAAGGUUAAACUCUGUGAGUUGAACGCACACAUCACAAAGAAGUUUCUGAGAAUCAUUCUGUCUAGUUUUUAUACGAAGAUAUUUCCUUUUCUACCAUUGACCUCAAAGCGGCUGAAAUCUCCACUUGCAAAUUCCACAAAAAGAGUGUUUCAAAUCUGCUCUGUGUAAACCA
RNAcentral lists this long non-coding RNA (546 nucleotides) under Homo sapiens (human). RNAcentral describes it as "HSALNT0326451". The record is from RNAcentral. Lineage: Eukaryota; Metazoa; Chordata; Mammalia; Primates; Hominidae.